Molecule: ribosomal RNA, 253 nt
Filed under: uncultured bacterium
Lineage: Bacteria
Description: partial 16S ribosomal RNA
Rfam family: Bacterial small subunit ribosomal RNA
Source: RNAcentral
UACAGAGGGGGCAAGCGUUAUUCGGAAUUAUUGGGCGUAAAGGGCGCGUAGGCGGCGAUUCAAGUGGCGGGUGAAAUCCCUCGGCUUAACCGAGGAACUGCCUGUCAGACUGUAAGGCUUGAGACCGGGAGAGGUGAGUGGAAUUCCCAGUGUAGCGGUGAAAUGCGUAGAUAUUGGGAGGAACACCAGUGGCGAAGGCGGCUCACUGGACCGGAACUGACGCUGAGGCGCGAAAGCGUGGGGAGCAAACAGG